Doryrhamphus excisus (bluestripe pipefish) is the source of this 1176-nucleotide non-coding RNA. The record is from RefSeq and is a predicted model, not a curated record. Lineage: Eukaryota; Metazoa; Chordata; Actinopteri; Syngnathiformes; Syngnathidae.
CAGGCACUGCCUCGUUCUGGCUUGAGUUUCUCUGGCUGGGAGAUCAAAUACCCUGAUUGGAUGACUGCCAGGGACUAUCUUCUCCAGGCGCCGAGUCAGCAUCUGUCCUGAAGCGGAGCAGGAUAUCGAGGAUCCAACAGGGGGAACCAGAGUGGAUGCCGGCGAUGUGACAUUCAGAGAGUUUUACGUUUUGUUCCUGUUACGAUCGGUCGAGCAAAUUCCACGAAGUCAUCUAUGAGGACUGGCCACGCUCCUGCGGUGAAGAAAAACACAAAAAAAUUAUAUAUUAAUUUUUCUACAAGCAAGAUUGUAAGUUAAAAUACAUCUAAUUUUCCUGUGAUUAGGAAAAUCGCUAGAAUAAAAUGUCAUUUUACUACAUGGACGAAAGUUUGCAUAAUAAAGGGGAUGUCAAUUACUAUAAUAACGAUGAUUAAAAUAAAGAAAUUGGAUUUCUGCACAGAAUGAAAGCAUCCAUCCAGUGGAACCUCAGUUUUUGUAUGAUUUGAUUUUUUCAACAAAAAUGGCCAAAAUACAUUCAAUUUGUUUAAAUAUGGGUAUUUUUGGACAAAUAAUCUGUCACAGUCAACCACGAAACAGCGAUAAUUUAGUCAGUUUAUUUUGAGAUACCGCAAGAGAGAAAUUAUUUUUUGUAUAUGUAUUUUGUAUGUAUACAGUAGGGUUGGAUAUCUUCUAUUCAGAUAUACAAAGUGUUGAAAGUUGAAAUGGCGCUAAACACCAGCGAAAGUUGUGAAUCUCCCCAUACAGAUCGUUAAUAGAAGCUUGCAGGGGUUAGCUUAAUUUCGGACGCCAAGUAGUUUGUGUGUGUGCACGCGGGAGUCGGGCUCCAUGAGUAUAUUUUCACCAUGUUGUGUUUUAAUUAUUUAAUGCAAAGAACGUUUUACAAUGUCCGAUGAAGAUGUGCAGAUUCUGAGCGGGAAAAAACAAAACGUGCAUUUAUUUUUAACGCAGCUUUAAUGUCUUAGGCGUAAAUAGACAUUUUCCGCGCACGGAACACACUUCCGUGACAUCCUUCAAAUUAAUAGUGCUGUUUGCCCUAUGUCUGCGUAAACAAAACAAGAGUGUCAUAAAAAUAUCUUCCAUAUGUAGUUGGAAUUUCAUGGGUGACUACAUCUUCCAGUUUGUUGAAUAUUUAGUAGCAAUGUGUGAAGAGGCCGA